Molecule: unclassified non-coding RNA, 200 nt
Filed under: soil metagenome
Description: partial contains internal transcribed spacer 2 and large subunit ribosomal RNA
Source: RNAcentral
GUGGUUGGAUGUGGGGGUUUGCUGGCCUUUCUUAAUUGAUGGGUCCAGCUCCUCUGAAAUGCAUUAGCAGAACGACCUGUUCAUUGGUGUGAUAACUAUCUACGCUAUUGAAUGUGAGGGCAGUUCAGCUUUCUAACAGUCCUUGGACAAUUCAUCAUUAAUGUGACCUCAAAUCAGGUAGGACUACCCGCUGAACUUAA